GACAGAGGGUGCAAACGUUGCUCGGAAUUACUGGGCGUAAAGCGCGUGUAGGCGGGCCGAUAAGUCGGAUGUGAAAUCCCUGAGCUCAACUCAGGAACUGCAUUCGAAACUGUCGGUCUUGAGUAGUGGAGAGGAAAGCAGAAUUCCUGGUGUAGAGGUGAAAUUCGUAGAUAUCAGGAGGAACACCGGUGGCGAAGGCGGCUUUCUGGACACUUACUGACGCUGAGACGCGAAAGCGUGGGGAGCAAACAGG
RNAcentral lists this ribosomal RNA (253 nucleotides) under uncultured bacterium. RNAcentral describes it as "partial 16S ribosomal RNA". It matches the Rfam family "Bacterial small subunit ribosomal RNA", at positions 524 to 776 of the family's 1533-position model. The record is from RNAcentral.